CGCCUGGGGAGUACGGCCGCAAGGUUAAAACUCAAAUGAAUUGACGGGGGCCCGCACAAGCGGUGGAGCAUGUGGUUUAAUUCGACGCAACGCGAAGAACCUUACCUGGCCUUGACAUCCAGAGAGCUUUCCAGAGAUGGAUUGGUGCCUUCGGGAACUCUGAGACAGGUGCUGCAUGGCCGUCGUCAGCUCGUGUCGUGAGAUGUUGGGUUAAGUCCCGUAACGAGCGCAACCCCUAUCCCUGGUUGCUAGCAGGUAAUGCUGAGAACUCCAGGGAGACUGCCGGUGACAAACCGGAGGAAGGUGGGGAUGACGUCAGGUCAUCAUGGCCCUUACGGCCAGGGCUACACACGUGCUACAAUGGCGCGUACAGAGGGCUGCCAACUCGCGAGAGUGAGCCAAUCCCUUAAAACGCGUCGUAGUCCGGAUCGGAGUCUGCAACUCGACUCCGUGAAGUCGGAAUCGCUAGUAAUCGCGAAUCAGAAUGUCGCGGUGAAUACGUUCCCGGGCCUUGUACACACCGCCCGUCACACCAUGGGAGUGGAUUGCACCAGAAGUAGUUAGUCUAACCUUCGGGAGGACGAUUACCACGGUGUGGUUCAUGACUGGGGUGAAGUCGCAACAAGGUAACCGUA
This 635-nucleotide ribosomal RNA is filed under the name uncultured Marinobacter sp. RNAcentral's name for it is "bacterial SSU rRNA". It matches the Rfam family "Bacterial small subunit ribosomal RNA", at positions 870 to 1504 of the family's 1533-position model. The record is from RNAcentral. Lineage: Bacteria; Pseudomonadati; Pseudomonadota; Gammaproteobacteria; Pseudomonadales; Marinobacteraceae.